GGCUGGUCCAAAGGUAGUGAGAUCUCACAACGAUUGCUUACAGUCAAUUACUGGCCGACCUAUUUGUCUACCACCCCCACCCCCGGUCACUACUGCACUUGACUAGUCUUAA
This 112-nucleotide Y RNA is filed under the name Echinops telfairi (small Madagascar hedgehog). Its description in RNAcentral is "Y RNA (ENSETEG00000022307.1)". It matches the Rfam family "Y RNA". Rfam says of the family: Y RNAs are components of the Ro ribonucleoprotein particle (Ro RNP), in association with Ro60 and La proteins. The Y RNAs and Ro60 and La proteins are well conserved, but the function of the Ro RNP is not known. Lineage: Eukaryota; Metazoa; Chordata; Mammalia; Afrosoricida; Tenrecidae. The record is from RNAcentral.